AUUGAACGCUGGCGGCAGGCCUAACACAUGCAAGUCGAACGAGUGGCGGACGGGUGAGUAAUGUCUGGGAAACUGCCUGAUGGAGGGGGAUAACUACUGGAAACGGUAGCUAAUACCGCAUACCAUCAGAUGUGCCCAGAUGGGAUUAGCUUGUUGGUGGGGUAACGGCUCACCAAGGCGACGAUCCCUAGCUGGUCUGAGAGGAUGACCAGCCAAACUGGGACUUAGGAACGGGCCAGAAUCCUACGGGGGGCAGCAGUGGGGAAUAUUGGCCAAUGGGCGGAAGCCUGACUGAGGCAAGCCGCGUUGUUGGAGAAGGGCUUUGGGUUGGAAAGCUCUUUUAGGGGGGAAGCGUUACCCGCCGAAGAAGCACCGGCUAACUCCGUGCCAGCAGCCGCGGUAAUAC
This 406-nucleotide ribosomal RNA is filed under the name uncultured bacterium. RNAcentral describes it as "partial 16S ribosomal RNA". It matches the Rfam family "Bacterial small subunit ribosomal RNA", at positions 30 to 526 of the family's 1533-position model. The record is from RNAcentral.